This is a long non-coding RNA of Dreissena polymorpha, 508 nucleotides long. RefSeq lists it as uncharacterized. The record is from RefSeq and is a predicted model, not a curated record. Lineage: Eukaryota; Metazoa; Mollusca; Bivalvia; Myida; Dreissenidae. The transcript has 2 exons.
GAUUCGUGACGGUGAUAUUGUCGUGGUGGACAGAGGUUUCCGCGACGCUGGUCCGCUACUAGCCGGGUGGACAGAGGUUUCCGCGACGCUGGUCCGCUACUAGCCGGGUGGACAAAGGUUUCCGCGACGCUGGUCCGCUACUAGCCGGGUGGACAGAGGUUUCCGCGACGCUGGUCCGCUACUAGCCGAUUUGGGUUUCACCAUGCACAUGCCUUAAUUUAUGCCGAGGGGAUCCACCCAGCACACGACGGAAGAAUCAAAUAAUUCUCGUCUUGUUACCAAGCUUUUUAAGCGUCUACGGUCUUCCAAAGACGUUCAACCCGGUGACAACACCGGAUCCACAAUGACCAGACCGUACUGGGUGAAGGAAGCUUCACCCAACAAACACAGCGGCAACACUGACUGUCCCGGCAGAGGUACGUUCUAUUUAGGACCAACACUGCAUAGACACGUAGUGCCACGGGUAAACACAGAAUCUUCACGGACCAUCCCGGACUUUUACGACAAU